AGCGAACGCUGGCGGCAGGCCUAACACAUGCAAGUCGAACGAACCUUUCGGGGUUAGUGGCGGACGGGUGAGUAACACGUGGGAACGUGCCUUUAGGUUCGGAAUAACUCAGGGAAACUUGUGCUAAUACCGAAUGUGCCCUUCGGGGGAAAGAUUUAUCGCCUUUAGAGCGGCCCGCGUCUGAUUAGCUAGUUGGUUGAGGUAAUGGCUCACCAAGGCGACGUUCAGUAGCUGGUCUGAGAGGAUGAUCAGCCACAUUGGGACUGAGACACGGCCCAAACUCCUACGGGAGGCAGCAGUGGGGAAUCUUGCGCAAUGGGCGAAAGCCUGACGCAGCCAUGCCGCGUGAAUGAUGAAGGUCUUAGGAUUGUAAAAUUCUUUCACCGGGGACGAUAAUGACGGUACCCGGAGAAGAAGCCCCGGCUAACUUCGUG
This 434-nucleotide ribosomal RNA is filed under the name uncultured bacterium. Its description in RNAcentral is "partial 16S ribosomal RNA". It matches the Rfam family "Bacterial small subunit ribosomal RNA", at positions 29 to 507 of the family's 1533-position model. The record is from RNAcentral.